This 253-nucleotide ribosomal RNA is filed under the name uncultured bacterium. RNAcentral describes it as "partial 16S ribosomal RNA". It matches the Rfam family "Bacterial small subunit ribosomal RNA", at positions 524 to 776 of the family's 1533-position model. The record is from RNAcentral.
GACGAACCGAGCGAACGUUGUUCGGAAUCACUGGGCUUAAAGGGCUCGUAGGCGGCCAACUAAGUCAAACGUGAAAUCCCUCGGCUUAACCGGGGAACUGCGCUUGAUACUGGAUGGCUUGAGAUUGGGAGAGGGAUGCGGAAUUCCAGGUGUAGCGGUGAAAUGCGUAGAUAUCUGGAGGAACACCGGUGGCGAAGGCGGCAUCCUGGACCAACACUGACGCUGAGGAGCGAAAGCCAGGGGAGCAAACGGG